AUUGAACGCUGGCGGCAGGCCUAACACAUGCAAGUCGAGCGGUAGCACAGAGAGCUUGCUCUCGGGUGACGAGCGGCGGACGGGUGAGUAAUGCCUGGGAAACUGCCUGAUGGAGGGGGAUAACUACUGGAAACGGUAGCUAAUACCGCAUAACGUCGCAAGACCAAAGAGGGGGACCUUCGGGCCUCUUGCCAUCAGAUGUGCCCAGAUGGGAUUAGCUAGUAGGUGGGGUAACGGCUCACCUAGGCGACGAUCCCUAGCUGGUCUGAGAGGAUGACCAGCCACACUGGAACUGAGACACGGUCCAGACUCCUACGGGAGGCAGCAGUGGGGAAUGUUGCACAAUGGGCGCAAGCCUGAUGCAGCCAUGCCGCGUGUAUGAAGAAGGCCUUCGGGUUGUAAAGUACUUUCAGCGGGGAGGAAGGCGAUAAGGUUAAUAACCUUGUCGAUUGACGUUACCCGCAGAAGAAGCACCGGCUAACUCCGUGCCAGCAGCCGCGGUAA
This 504-nucleotide ribosomal RNA is filed under the name uncultured bacterium. RNAcentral describes it as "partial 16S ribosomal RNA". It matches the Rfam family "Bacterial small subunit ribosomal RNA", at positions 30 to 523 of the family's 1533-position model. The record is from RNAcentral.